UGCCCCGCCCCUGCCGCACCACGUGCCGGCUCGGCUGGGCAGGGCUGGGAGGAGCAUGGCGGCCCGCUACGACCGCGCCAUUACCGUGUUCUCCCCGGACGGGCACCUCUUCCAAGUGGAGUAUGCCCAGGAGGCGGUGAAGAAGGGCUCCACCGCCGUUGGGGUUCGAGGGCUGGACAUAGUUGUCUUGGGGGUAGAGAAAAAGUCUGUUGCCAAGCUUCAGGAAGAAAGAACUGUAAGAAAGAUAUGUGCACUUGAUGAUCACGUCUGCAUGGCUUUUGCAGGUCUGACUGCUGAUGCCAGAAUAGUAAUUAAUAGAGCCCGUGUGGAGUGUCAAAGCCAUAAACUUACUGUUGAGGAUCCAGUCACAGUAGAGUAUAUAACACGCUAUAUAGCAACUCUAAAGCAGCGUUACACACAGAGCAAUGGACGUAGACCAUUUGGUAUUUCUGCCUUGAUUGUGGGCUUUGAUGAUGAUGGUAGUCCCAGACUGUACCAAACAGAUCCAUCUGGCACAUAUCAUUCUUGGAAGGCUAAUGCAAUUGGUCGCAAUGCUAAAGCUGUGCGAGAAUUUUUGGAAAAGAAUUACAAAGAAGAAGCUAUAGCAACUGACAGGGAAACUAUCAAAUUAGCAAUAAGAGCGUUGCUAGAAGUUGUGCAGUCUGGUGGAAAAAACAUUGAACUUGCCAUAAUCAGGAGAAAUCAACCACUGCAGGUAGCCAAACCACAAUUCUCUGCAGAAGAGAGAGGCUUUGUAGCAGGAUACUGAGUGAACAUAGGACUCCCCUUUGAAGAUGUCAUGCACAACACAUUCCAAAGCACAAGAUUUUUAGUGCAAAGGACAUCGAAUCACAAGUUGCUGAAAUAGAGAAAGAAAAAGAAGAAUCUGAAAAGAAAAAGAAGAAAAGUAUUUAAAUUUCAGUGAAAAGAAGAUAGCUGCUAUUGAAAUGUUUCUGGAGUUGUAACAGCUGCUAAUUGACAGUGUUUACCAUUGCUGAAUAAUCUUAUCUAUUUAAUUAUUGAAUACAUUAGUUUUCUUAAACUGUGUUACAGAUGUAUUAAAUCCAGUGUGCUUGUUGUAUUCACCACCAUGUGCAUACAGGAAUAUAUUUGCAUUUUGCUGUUCCUCCAGGUUUAAUGUGUAUUCAGUAUUCAAAGGCAUUGGCACAUUUCCUGUACACAAAUUAUCACCAAACUAUUUGGCAUAUCUCUGUACAAGUUAUUUAAAGGUUUCAGGUUUUCUUCUUGUGUAAGUUUUUGCAAGUCUAAUAUUUGUUUGCUUUUACUAGCAUGAUACAUAUUUAGUCCAAUAAAAAUUAAGAAUUAAAUAAAGUUUUGAUUUGUUCUGACUGGCUCUUUUGCCU
RNA transcript from Alligator sinensis (Chinese alligator), 1364 nucleotides. It is a transcript of the gene named proteasome subunit alpha 8, with no coding region annotated. The transcript is spliced from 8 exons. Lineage: Eukaryota; Metazoa; Chordata; Crocodylia; Alligatoridae. The record is from RefSeq and is a predicted model, not a curated record.